Molecule: non-coding RNA, 45 nt
Organism: Schistosoma haematobium
Lineage: Eukaryota; Metazoa; Platyhelminthes; Trematoda; Strigeidida; Schistosomatidae
Source: Rfam
AUCCAGCUGACGAGUCCCAAAUAGGAUGAAAUGGACGUUUUGAAU